GAUGAACGCUGGCGGCGUGCCUAAUACAUGCAAGUCGAACGAGUUCUCGUUGAUGAUCGGUGCUUGCACCGAGAUUCAACAUGGAACGAGUGGCGGACGGGUGAGUAACACGUGGGUAACCUGCCCUUAAGUGGGGGAUAACAUUUGGAAACAGAUGCUAAUACCGCAUAGAUCCAAGAACCGCAUGGUUCUUGGCUGAAAGAUGGCGUAAGCUAUCGCUUUUGGAUGGACCCGCGGCGUAUUAGCUAGUUGGUGAGGUAAUGGCUCACCAAGGCGAUGAUACGUAGCCGAACUGAGAGGUUGAUCGGCCACAUUGGGACUGAGACACGGCCCAAACUCCUACGGGAGGCAGCAGUAGGGAAUCUUCCACAAUGGACGCAAGUCUGAUGGAGCAACGCCGCGUGAGUGAAGAAGGCUUUCGGGUCGUAAAACUCUGUUGUUGGAGAAGAAUGGUCGGCAGAGUAACUGUUGUCGGCGUGACGGUAUCCAACCAGAAAGCCACGGCUAACUACGUGCCAGCAGCCGCGGUAAUACGUAGGUGGCAAGCGUUAUCCGGAUUUAUUGGGCGUAAAGCGAGCGCAGGCGGUUUUUUAAGUCUGAUGUGAAAGCCCUCGGCUUAACCGAGGAAGCGCAUCGGAAACUGGGAAACUUGAGUGCAGAAGAGGACAGUGGAACUCCAUGUGUAGCGGUGAAAUGCGUAGAUAUAUGGAAGAACACCAGUGGCGAAGGCGGCUGUCUGGUCUGUAACUGACGCUGAGGCUCGAAAGCAUGGGUAGCGAGCAGGAUUAGAUACCCUGGUAGUCCAUGCCGUAAACGAUGAAUGCUAGGUGUUGGAGGGUUUCCGCCCUUCAGUGCCGCAGCUAACGCAUUAAGCAUUCCGCCUGGGGAGUACGACCACAAGGUUGAAACUCAAAGGAAUUGACGGGGGCCCGCACAAGCGGUGGAGCAUGUGGUUUAAUUCGAAGCAACGCGAAGAACCUUACCAGGUCUUGACAUCUUUUGAUCACCUGAGAGAUCAGGUUUCCCCUUCGGGGGCAAAAUGACAGGUGGUGCAUGGUUGUCGUCAGCUCGUGUCGUGAGAUGUUGGGUUAAGUCCCGCAACGAGCGCAACCCUUAUGACUAGUUGCCAGCAUUUAGUUGGGCACUCUAGUAAGACUGCCGGUGACAAACCGGAGGAAGGUGGGGAUGACGUCAAAUCAUCAUGCCCCUUAUGACCUGGGCUACACACGUGCUACAAUGGAUGGUACAACGAGUUGCGGGACCGCGAGGUCAAGCUAAUCUCUUAAAGCCAUUCUCAGUUCGGACUGUAGGCUGCAACUCGCCUACACGAAGUCGGAAUCGCUAGUAAUCGCGGAUCAGCACGCCGCGGUGAAUACGUUCCCGGGCCUUGUACACACCGCCCGUCACACCAUGAGAGUUUGUAACACCCGAAGCCGGUGGCGUAACCCUUUUAGGGAGCGAGCCGUCUAAGGUGGGACAAAUGAUUAGGGUG
RNAcentral lists this ribosomal RNA (1492 nucleotides) under Lacticaseibacillus paracasei. RNAcentral describes it as "bacterial SSU rRNA". It matches the Rfam family "Bacterial small subunit ribosomal RNA". The record is from RNAcentral. Lineage: Bacteria; Bacillati; Bacillota; Bacilli; Lactobacillales; Lactobacillaceae.